Aplysia californica (California sea hare) is the source of this 2406-nucleotide long non-coding RNA. RefSeq lists it as uncharacterized. NCBI's taxonomy places the organism in Eukaryota, Metazoa, Mollusca, Gastropoda, Aplysiida, Aplysiidae. The transcript has 3 exons. The record is from RefSeq and is a predicted model, not a curated record.
UAAACGAUGAUAAUCUGUUUUUCACCCGCAGGAAAUCCUAAAACGUGCCAAGAAAAUAUUUCACGACGCGGAAAAGAAUGUUCCAAGCUACGGCUCGGAGCACAAGAGCAUCCUGCAUCAUGACAUGAGAUGGUUUAUGUUGCCUGAGGAAGCUGCUGGCGUGAUUUCUGGCGACCCGGUGAUACAUCUUCCGCCGGAUGAUCUUCCCUUCUUCCCGGGCGCCCUGGCGAGGAGACUUGGCUUGAGCGUGGUCGACCACAAAGCUCGGGCCUCCAUGGACAAGGACUUCCCCGUGGAGUACUGAGAGACACGUCACCUCGCUAGACGACUAUAGAGACAUCCUGGGAACUGAGCCUGCAGAGCUGAAGUUGACACUUUCCUUUGGGGAAGUAGGGAAUUCAGUAAAUUAACUGUAAUUUUGCCCGGGGGGGAGCGGAGGGGUUGGGGGGUAUGGUGGAUAGUUUACAUAAAUUCCAUUGCAAUUCAAUAAACAAUUAAUUUAGCCCCCCGGGGGGGGGGGGGGUGUUUUGACAUAAACUUCGUUGCCUAUAACUGCUCAGGAAUAAACUCUUUGCUUUGAGGAGAAUGAUAUGCCAACAAACUUUUCUAUACUUUGAGAAGGAUGUUAAGCCAACAAACUUUUCUAUAUUUUGAGGAGGAUGUUAUGCCAACAAACUUUUCUAUAUUUUGAGGAGAAUGCUCUGUCAACAUACUCAACACUUUGAAAAGAAUACUCUGCCGACAAACCAACAAACUAUGUAUGAACCUUGAGGAGAAUACUCAGCUAAUAAUCUCCAAACUUAACAGGGAAAAAAACCCUGCCAAUGAACUCUUUACUUUACACUGAAAGUGUUCUAUUAACUAUCUCUACUAACCAAUUAGAAAAUACACAAAUGUGAAUUUUAAACGUGGUAAUGGGUUACUCAGCCAAUAAACUGAAGACUUUGUAAGGAAUUACUUAGCCUAUGAACUACAGACUUUGUAAGAGAUUACUCGACUAAGAAACUGUAGACUCGAUAAGCGAAUUUCCAGCACCCUGCUACUCUUUAGCAUAAUCAAAUAGUUGUCCAAAAUGAAUUGAUUAAUGCUUUAGGAGUUCCGACUAGCCGGUCGAAAAGAACAGCUGCCCUGAUAUCGCUCUUGCUUUUCGUGGCGUCUGUACCCCGUUUUCGGGGGGCCUUUUGUGGUAAGAGUGAUUGCCUUCCUGGGGCGAGAUACCGAGAACUCUAGUAAUUGGUGCUAUACUUUACUUUUGUUCCCUUUUUCCAUCCUUCUUUUAUCUUCCGGUGUCGAGGGGAGAAGCAAUAAAUGUCUUUCUUUUGUUUGUUGCGCAUCACCUAUUAUAAAUUUUGAUUAGUGAUACUUUGAUCCCCAUGAUCCAUCUUUUCACGGGCCUUUCUCUUCCUCUGUAUCCAUCUGAUCUUUGCUGUAUGCUCUCGCUGCUAUACUGGUGCUAUAGAGGGAGCAAAAGACCAAAUAGCCGGGAUUUUAGGACAUUUCAGAAUUUUGAUGGAUAAGGCGUGGGUGGAGUGAGGGAAAGGGGGGGGGGAGUUAUUCUUUUCUUCAUAUUAUCAGUAUUUUUUUUCCUUCUCAGUUGUUCUUCUAUUGAUAUCUUUGCAUAGAAAACGUUUAAUUAACGGCCAGCAAGGUCGGGAUUUGUCCCUGCAGUAUUCCUUGUUUCUUUCUUUUGAAUGUCGUGUCUCUGGUAUAUGUGUAUGUGACAAUACAUGUACUGCAAAGUGUGGUUUCAUGGCAUAUGAACGCCUUGUAGAAAGACGUUUGAGGUGCAGGAGACACGUACCUAAUCUGCUACGCAGAAGUUUAAGGUUCCAAUCUAGGUAGCGCUCGAUAUUUUUUUCCUCACUCUUCCAGUCAUACAUCCUCCAAGCUCUGUGCCUUGGAGAUGUAUGAAGUGCUGCCUCUUUUAAUGAAAUUACCUAGCCGACCCGUUUUUGUGAAAUGCCAGUCUUCAAGCACAAUAUUAUACGUAUGUCUGCUUGCUGAAGGUUGGCUUUAUACUUCUAUUCAGGAGAUUGUUUUUUGUUUUGGUGGGGGUGCUUUAUUUAUAAUUGUUCAACACCAAAGCUUUGAUAACCUGACCUAAUAUGUGUGAUUUUUUAAAAAUCUUUUAUCAUUUUGUUUAUAUUUCUCCUUUAAUUAGGUUUUGAUCGAUGCCUUUAUAUUUCCUUUUCAUUAUGAACUAAAUGUGUGCUUCAGAACAAGUUGACGUAAAAGAUGUCAAUAAUUAUAUUCGAUUUUUGUAUGUGUGUAUUUGUGUGUGUGUGUGUGUGUGUGUGUGUGUGUGUGUGUGUGUGUGUGUGUUUAUGUGAGUGUACUCUCUUUCGCUUUAAUGUGCGUCAGGGAGGGUUCAGUAGACGAAAAUACACAGUGAUGUUCUAUCGGCAG